Long non-coding RNA from Brassica rapa (field mustard), 2693 nucleotides. RefSeq lists it as uncharacterized. NCBI's taxonomy places the organism in Eukaryota, Viridiplantae, Streptophyta, Magnoliopsida, Brassicales, Brassicaceae. The record is from RefSeq and is a predicted model, not a curated record.
GAGAAAAGUGCAGUACAGAGAGAGAGAGAUGGUGAUCGGCGCGUGUGGAGGAGAGAGAUUGGCCGUGGUGGAAUUUACCGACGGUAAAACGGUGACUUGAGAGGUAAAUAAAUCGCAGCAACUUCUGAGACCACUCGAUGACUCCCACUCAAUGGACUUUUCACCUGUUGGCUUUUGGGCCGUUCGAUUAUGUUUCCUUUAUACUCCAGAGCCCCAUUAAGGUUCACUUAUUAUUUUGUUUUCUUAUAAAUUUAAUAUGUUUUACAUUUCUUUUUGGGUCGAAUAUAUGUUUUACAUUUAUAUUAAGUUUUAAAGAUUUAUUUAACAGAUUAUUGUUUUAAUAGAUAAGAUAAUGUUAUUUAUUUUAAAAUAAAUAUAUAAUUCAAGAUUUAUAAAUAUGAUUGGUUAAACAUUUAUUUGAAAACAAAAACAAAGCAAAAAUAUUUAUAGUUUGUGUGAAAAAAAACUCAAAAUGUGGCAACUAGAUCGGUUUUUGCAUUACUUUUUUCUUAAUCAUGUUUAUCAUUUUAUCUAUUAAAAUAAAAGUCAUCACUUCUUUCAUAUGUGACUUUUUGAUAUGAACUAUCUUUUGAAAAUUUUAUUAAAUGUAUUUAUUUAAUGUUAAUAAUAAUUAAAAAUUGUUUAACUAAUUUAAUCAUAAUACUUUUUGAUAUUUUUAUUUUAGAUAUAUAUAUAUAAAUAUAAGUCUAACAAAUCUGUUGAAAGGGAUGAGAUUAUAAAAAAAUCUUAACUAUCAAAAAUUUUAUAUAAAUAUUUUCAUUAAUUUUAUAAUCUUAUAAUAGUAAAUUGAUAAAUUAAUAUAUUGUAAAUUGAACUAAAUAUGAUAAACUUAUAUUAAAUUGAUAAGUUAAUUGAAUUCAUUAAAUAAUAAACACAAUUUCAAUAAAUAUGUAAUAAAAAACGACAAAUAUAUCUGCUGGUUUGAAACAAUUAAUAAACUUAUAACAUAGAAACUAUAAAACUAUUGUAUUUGAAAUAUUUAUAUAAAUAUUUAAAUAUAUGAUUAACAUUUUAAAUAUAUACUACUAAUCAUGUAAAACAAAUAUAUGAUCAACACAAUUUGUAUCCAAACCUUACUGUGGAUUUCCUUAUUGAUUCCACUUCGCGAAAAUGGAAUUCUCAGGUUAUUCGGACUUUGGUAGACCCACAAGAUGUGAAAAUCACAGAGAGCAUACCACUAAGUAGAAACCAGAUGGUAGAUAGGGAAUAAUGACAUUUCACAAAUAAUGGAAAAUUUACGGUUAAAUCAAGAUAUCAAGUAGAGAGGAUUUACCCGGAUAGGGAAAGAUCACCAGUAUUAAUUGGACCUACAGUUGAUGUUCUGAAGGCAUUUUGUUGAAAACUAAGGUGUCCACUAAGGUGUCCACCAAAAAUAAAACAUUUUCUUUGGCAAUUGGUUUUAGGGUGUGUCGCAGUUAAGAAGAAUUUGCAGGCACGAGGGAUCCAAAAAGAUAUAUGUUGUGCAAGAUGUGGAACGGAUGAGGAGUCGAUUAAUCAUGUGUUUUUUUAGUGUCCUCCAACAAUUCAGGUUUGGGCGCUGUCAAAGAUACCAACAAAUCCAACUAUUUUCCCAACAAGCUCUAUAUUUACAAACAUGGAUCACUUUUUCUGGAGAGUUGCUCCACCGAUGGAGGAUCAUCACUUUGCUUGGAUAUUUUGGUACAUUUGGAAAGAAAGAAAUAAUAAGAUUUUUAGUAAUCUCGAUAUGGAUCCUAGAGACACUCUUAAGUUGGCAGAAACGGAAUCCACACUCUGGGCAGAGGCACAGAUUUUGAAAGACCAGAACACGGGAACACAGGUUUAGGCAUCUCUACCGUCAAUUCCUGGAAGAUGGUGUUUUACAAAUGGAUCAUGGAAAGAGGGGGAUAUGUUCUCUGGUCAGGGUUGGUUCAGUAUUUUAGAAGGUUUUGAAGGUCUAAUGGGAGCAAGGAAUGUAAGGGCUUCUUUAACUCCCUUGCAUGCAGAGAUGGAGGCGCUACUAUGGGCUAUGAAAUGUAUGAAGAAUUUACGUCAGUUCCAGGUUACGUUUGCAAUGAAUUGUUCUCAAUUGGUGAAGAUGGUUUCGGAAUCAGAAGAGUUGCCAGCUUUUGCAAGUUAUUUGAAAGAUAUCAAGAAAGCUUCACGCGAUCAGGGAUUAUACAUGUACCAAAAACGCAAAAUACAAAGGCGGAUAACCUAGUACGCAGUGUCAGGAAACAAACGUCUUUUGUCGUUCACAUGGAUCGAUAUCUUCCGGUGUAGUUUACAGAGUCAAUAUAAAUCUGUAAUGUUGUGGACAAAAAAAAGAAAAAAAAAGUGAAAAUUAUUGCGCGGAUCAAUUCUAGUUAAACAAUCAAAAUACUUUUAUGGUAUGGAACUAAAAUACUUUAGCCCUACUAUUCAUUACGUUCGGAGAAAAAACUCUAUGUGAUAAUCAACUUCUGGUGUGUAUAUAUAUAUAAUUGAAUUUGUAUAAGAUAUUCAAAAGUCUAUUGCGUUAAAAAAAGAAACAUGGAUCUUUUCACAACUUUUGUAAGUUUUUGUCAUAAAAUGAAUAGUUCAAAACUUCACUGUUUUAAUAUGAUCAGUCAAUGGAAUUUCGAAUAUAUACCCAGUCUUCUUCCACAGUUGCAAAACAUCACUCAAAUAAUUCUCUGAUCUUUGGGAAACAAUUAUAUUGGUAUCAGUUUACC